This 464-nucleotide ribosomal RNA is filed under the name Vreelandella stevensii. RNAcentral's name for it is "partial 16S ribosomal RNA". It matches the Rfam family "Bacterial small subunit ribosomal RNA", at positions 338 to 795 of the family's 1533-position model. Lineage: Bacteria; Pseudomonadati; Pseudomonadota; Gammaproteobacteria; Oceanospirillales; Halomonadaceae. The record is from RNAcentral.
CCUACGGGUGGCAGCAGUGGGGAAUAUUGGACAAUGGGGGGAACCCUGAUCCAGCCAUGCCGCGUGUGUGAAGAAGGCCCUCGGGUUGUAAAGCACUUUCAGUGAGGAAGAACGCCUGGUGGUUAAUACCCAUCAGGAAAGACAUCACUCACAGAAGAAGCACCGGCUAACUCCGUGCCAGCAGCCGCGGUAAUACGGAGGGUGCGAGCGUUAAUCGGAAUUACUGGCGUAAAGCGCGCGUAGGUGGCUUGAUAAGCCGGUUGUGAAAGCCCCGGGCUCAACCUGGGAACGGCAUCCGGAACUGUCAAGCUAGAGUGCAGGAGAGGAAGGUAGAAUUCCCGGUGUAGCGGUGAAAUGCGUAGAGAUCGGGAGGAAUACCAGUGGCGAAGGCGGCCUUCUGGACUGACACUGACACUGAGGUGCGAAAGCGUGGGUAGCAAACAGGAUUAGAUACCCGUGUAGUC